This 707-nucleotide long non-coding RNA is filed under the name Strongylocentrotus purpuratus (purple sea urchin). Its description in RNAcentral is "uncharacterized LOC115920032". Lineage: Eukaryota; Metazoa; Echinodermata; Echinoidea; Camarodonta; Strongylocentrotidae. The record is from RNAcentral.
AGAUCUCCAAGUUAUCGAGUCUUUGAGGGAAGUUGACAAGCAUCCCGGUGACCAGUGUUGCGGCAGUCUGCAUUGCAAAGGACGAGGAUCACUACCUGAGUUGGACAAUCAUCUACAUGUAUAGACUUUCGAUGACUGCUGGUUUGUGUCAUAUGGUUUAAGGGAAUGCUCUAUAGAUUUGUUUUGAUUUGUUUUAAAUUAUUAAUGCUUAGGCUGAUGUCCAAACCAAAAUUCCAAUAGUAUUGCAAUGCAAGGCUGGAAGUCAUUGGAUAUAACUGCUUGCAUAAACUUGCACACUAAUAUUUUGCACCUUAGCCAUGUUACUAGCACAGGGCUGGAAUUCUUUUACACAGUUAUGGGAUCUAGAGUCAACUCAGUAUCACUGCUUAUAUUAACUAUCACUGCUUCUAUUAACUAUCACUGCUUCUAUUAACUAUCACUGCUUUUGUCAUCUUGCACACUAAUAUUUUUGCACUUUGGCACAGGACUACAAUUCGUUGACUUGGUUAUGGAGUCACAAGCCAACUUUGAAGAAUUGCUCUGCCGCAAAAUAUACGAUAUUUUGAAAAUACCACUGCUUAUAUAUUAACUUGCACACUAAUGUUUUGCACUUUAAUUAGCACAGGACUACAAUUCGUUGACUCGGUUAUGGAGUCAAAAACCAACUUUGAAGAAUUGCUCUGUAACAAAAUAUGCAAUAUUUUGAA